Molecule: ribosomal RNA, 410 nt
Filed under: Veillonella parvula
Lineage: Bacteria; Bacillati; Bacillota; Negativicutes; Veillonellales; Veillonellaceae
Description: bacterial SSU rRNA
Rfam family: Bacterial small subunit ribosomal RNA
Source: RNAcentral
GACGAACGCUGGCGGCGUGCUUAACACAUGCAAGUCGAACGAAGAGCGAUGGAAGCUUGCUUCUAUCAAUCUUAGUGGCGAACGGGUGAGUAACGCGUAAUCAACCUGCCCUUCAGAGGGGGACAACAGUUGGAAACGACUGCUAAUACCGCAUACGAUCUAAUCUCGGCAUCGAGGAUAGAUGAAAGGUGGCCUCUACAUGUAAGCUAUCACUGAAGGAGGGGAUUGCGUCUGAUUAGCUAGUUGGAGGGGUAACGGCCCACCAAGGCGAUGAUCAGUAGCCGGUCUGAGAGGAUGAACGGCCACAUUGGGACUGAGACACGGCCCAGACUCCUACGGGAGGCAGCAGUGGGGAAUCUUCCGCAAUGGACGAAAGUCUGACGGAGCAACGCCGCGUGAGUGAUGACGGC